Molecule: long non-coding RNA, 659 nt
Organism: Homo sapiens (human)
Lineage: Eukaryota; Metazoa; Chordata; Mammalia; Primates; Hominidae
Gene: SNHG16
Product: small nucleolar RNA host gene 16
Source: Ensembl
CUUUUCGAGGUCGGCCGCGUGGCUGGAAGACAUGGCCACUCCAGUCGGUGUUGAGCACGGCGAGCAGUCUCAGGCCUUUAGUGAUGAUGUCAGCCUCAGUUUCCAAAGCCGGAAAAGGAUCCUCUAGUAGCCACGGUGUGGCAGCUGCUCUGAACCAGGACCUGGACCCGGACCCAAAGUGCCAUGUCUUUAAUGUUAGCUCCCAGCGAUGCCAGAUGGGAUCAGCACAGCCCUGCCUCUGCUGCUAAUUGUUCCUCUAAAGUAAUCGCCAUGCGUUCUUUGGGCUUCAUCUUUAAAGGAAUGAAGCAACUGAGAUUAUUCUGGAAAACCUUUUGGCAGUUAGUGAAAUUAGAGUACAACUAAGAACAUUUUCAGACCUCCACUGUGGAUGACCUGGGUAUAAUCUCACAAAUCGAUGGGACUGCAAGGAUUGUAAACUGAAAUGAACAUGAUUAUACUCUGUUGGAAGAGCCUAAGAGGAAACUGAUGCCAUGAGUUUCAGAGAGUAAUGCUUAACCCCAGUUACACAGGAUGCCGUCUUGUGUUUCCUCUUGUUUAGUUACCCACUACAGUGAUUUUGUGAUCUGCUAAUGGGUUGCCACCCACAACCAUUGCUUUAGCACUUUUACUUCAAAUCAAUGAAGGAUUGAUAAAAGUUC